This 447-nucleotide ribosomal RNA is filed under the name Stenotrophomonas rhizophila. RNAcentral describes it as "bacterial SSU rRNA". It matches the Rfam family "Bacterial small subunit ribosomal RNA", at positions 356 to 795 of the family's 1533-position model. Lineage: Bacteria; Pseudomonadati; Pseudomonadota; Gammaproteobacteria; Lysobacterales; Lysobacteraceae. The record is from RNAcentral.
UGGGAAUAUUGGACAAUGGGCGCAAGCCUGAUCCAGCCAUACCGCGUGGGUGAAGAAGGCCUUCGGGUUGUAAAGCCCUUUUGUUGGGAAAGAAAAGCAAUCGAUUAAUACCCGGUUGUUCUGACGGUACCCAAAGAAUAAGCACCGGCUAACUUCGUGCCAGCAGCCGCGGUAAUACGAAGGGUGCAAGCGUUACUCGGAAUUACUGGGCGUAAAGCGUGCGUAGGUGGUUGUUUAAGUCUGUUGUGAAAGCCCUGGGCUCAACCUGGGAAUUGCAGUGGAUACUGGGCAACUAGAGUGUGGUAGAGGGUAGUGGAAUUCCCGGUGUAGCAGUGAAAUGCGUAGAGAUCGGGAGGAACAUCCAUGGCGAAGGCAGCUACCUGGACCAACACUGACACUGAGGCACGAAAGCGUGGGGAGCAAACAGGAUUAGAUACCCUGGUAGUC